UUAGCAACGUCUUUGACGUUAUUCAUCCAUUGCCAGAUCGGGGGAUCCAUUUCUUGUCUUGCUUCUGCACCUCUCACCGAAGAUUGUAGGUAACCCAACUCAUCUUUGAGCCACCUUACACCAUCUUCCACUCCUAUCCUUGUGUUGACUCUUUGGGUAAGAAAAACAUUAAGCUUUUCAAUUGCAAAGGAAACAGCUGCAUCAGCCAUUUUUCUCUAUCAACUAGAAACAGCCAAACAGGCAGAAAGUAUUUGAAUGUUCUUGCAAACAGAAAAAACCAAAUGUAGGACAAUACCAAUAUGCAUCAACUAAUCAAAUUUGGUGUUGCAACUUUGCGAAGAAUCUGAGCAUUAUAUACAACUCAAUUAGAUUCAAAUAUAAUCUAAAAAAAUUGUAUUCCUUAACUUCAUUUCAGAUCUUAAAAUAAAAAUGUUGAGUUGUUUUAGACUUUAGUUGCAGUUCUGGCCAACUGGGGGGCCAAGUUCUUGGUAAUGUGUCACUUGAUGAGGCUCACAAGUCACAAUCCACUUGAAAGGACACCACUUUUCAGACACUAAACCCACUUUUCACUGUUAUUGCUAACGUCUUUAAUCAUUGAAGUCUGGUAUGUAGGAGGAUCAGAGUUUCAUCUAUAACAGAGGGAAAGAAAUAUUAUGAUUACUAAUUUACUAUUGUGCAUUUGAACUAAAAUGACUGGCAAAUUAGUAUAUUUUAAGGUAGUUAAAUGAGUUGUAGAGCUCAACUUAACAUGAUGAACUCUAUUGAUUGGAUGAGGUCUGAAUUCGAGAUUAGUUGUUUAACUGUUAACUCUGCAGAAGCUGACAUGAUAUUAUGAUGUCAGACUUUUGCAAAGAAAUAUGUUUUUAACCCAAAUUCUUAAAAUUAUAUAUUAAUUUUAUGAAAUGUUGAGCACUAUUUUUGUUAAAUUGGAGGUAUGACAGAUCGUUAACAAUAUAUAUACUUGCCAGUAAAAAGCAGUGUUGUAAAAAAAGGAUGACAUGCACGAACAAUUGACCAUAUGAAUCAGAGAUCAACAGGUCAUAUAUUCACUCAAUUUUAGGAAUCACGGAAUAAUGAUUAAUUAGAACUAAUCAGAUUAUAACACGUUUACAGUCGCUUGUACAAAACAAAGGGUGAAGACCAGAAAACUCAAACACUACUUUAAAAACAAAGCACAAGCACAAAAAGGGGAACUUCUAGUUCUAUGAUUCCCCGUCUCAGCACAAGUCAUACUCCUCGAAGUUUUGCAUACUUUCCCUGUCUGAGUAUCCGAAUCAAUGUCCGAAAACGAAGAGUACGUGGCGAAGACCUUCUUACUUGAUCCACAGCAAGACUCUUGUCUUGCUCGCUUUGCAGACCGCCAUCCGAUCUUGCAAGGAAGCUUUAAACAGCACCAGAAGAUGGACAGAGGGCAACACACGCAGAACAGGCAUGCAUUGCACACGAACUCCGUGACUUUUUGGCCAAUCGUUGCAUGUUUUUUGCACUCAUGACAAGAAGAGAACGAAGAUGAAUUUGAAAGCUUAGAAUUCACCAUAGCUUGUGUUACGGGGAAAGAAUACUUCUACCUUAUCUCUCUUUUUUACUUUACCACCGUCUGUUAUGUAUAGCUUUUUAAGUAUUUGAUCACUUUCUUCAUAAGAUGGAAUGAUUCUUAUCACAUGGUCCUCAAGCACUUAACCCAAUUUGACCAAAAACAUCAACUUUUUUUAUACUAUAACACAGCAGUUUUUAAUAGCACUCCCAAACAUACCNAAAUCCCCGAUUUCUUUUGGCAUCCUGUCUGAUUUUACACAGCUCAAAUCUAGCGUUUUUAGAUAUUUGAAUCUUGUGUAAAUACACUUCAACUCUUCUAAUUUGAAAAAACUCCCAGGUUCAUUUGUUAUUGCCAAUGAUCGCAACUUCAAAUAAUUAGAACUCGAUGCAUGUAAUUUUAAGUACUUACCAAUUCCAUUGUAUAUGGCAUGACGUGGUUGUUCAUUCAACAAGUGUAUGGGGCUUGAAUGAUCUUUACUUGAGUCAAAAAUUAGCAACAACUUCUCCUCUGAGGCCUUUUGUAUGGCAAGAUCACGCACAAGAUCAUGGAUACGGCAGUCCCAAACAUGUCCAUCCCAACGAAAUGUUGCUAUCUGAAUCAUAUUGCGAUUAAUUAACUCAUUUAAAUAGUCCUCAGACACAUCCUCCAUAACUAAUCCAUCUCCUUCAUCAGCUUCUGAUAUAAAUUCCUCUGCAAUCCAUAACAACUUUAAAUUGUUAACUUCAAAAGUAUGGUCUUCUGGAAACCUUGCAAGGUAUAGAAAACAUCGUCUCAGCUGGAAAGACAAGUCAUAAUAACUCAAGCUUAGUAUUUCUUGAAUCUCCACAGAAUCAGCCUUCAAUUUUCUCCAAAGAUGGUCCUUCACCAAUGACCAAUCCUCAUAGCUCUUCUUGUGCAGUAAUAGCCCACUUAGUAUCAUGAUUGCAAGUGGUAACCCUCCACAUUUACAUACCAUCUGCUUUCCUAACUUCUCAAGGUUCGGGGUUGGUUUUGCUCUCUUUAGGAAUAAUUGCCAGCUCUCAUCUUCCCUUAGAAAGCGGAGUGGAUGGACAAAACAUCUGUCAUCUACUUUCUGAGCAAUUAUUUUAUUUCGCGUGGUUAUGAUGACUCUACUACCGUUCUGCUUGUCAGGAAAAGCUUUUUUGAUCUUAAUCCAAGCCUCUAUAUCCCAUAUGUCAUCAAUUACGACCAAGUAACCAUCACAAUCUACCAGUAACUUUCUCAGGUGCUGCAGCAAGUCAAUUUCAUCCAUCUUCAUAAAAUCCAGUUCAUGUCCCAGUACAUGUCUCCCGAAAGACUUUAUCAUCGUCUUCAGAACAUCUUUGAUGUUAUAUUCCUGGGAGACACAGACCCAAGCACGACUCUUAAAAUGGCUCACUUUGCUAGAGUGGUAUAAUUUACUAGCAAGUGUAGUCUUGCCCAAACCCCCCAUGCCAUGAAUGGAAAUCAGUUUAAGCGAGAGAUCCUCACUAACAAGUUCAUCCAACAAAGUCUUGAAAUCAUCCUCAAAACCAACCACAUCCACCUGGUUUUCAAAGGAGGUUGCUCUAAGCAAUGUUCUUUUCCUCCUUUCCACCAUCUGCGUGGCUAAGAUGUUGGUAAUACCAUAUUCAUCUCGCCUGCUCUUGAUCACAACAACCCUUCCCUUGAGCAACUCAAUCUCUUUGCCUAUAUCAUAUAAACUGGCUUCCUUCCUGCACAAGCAGACAGAGCUCACAGAGCUCCACAAACAAUCCAUCAAACCUUCUUUCCGGACUGCAUGUUCUUCUUCGAGGGCACUAAACCUCUCCAGGAUAAUUAAAGCAUCAUUAGCAACGUCUUUGACGUUAUUCAUCCAUUGCCAGAUCGGGGGAUCCAUUUCUUGUCUUGCUUCUGCACCUCUCACCGAAGAUUGUAGGUAACCCAACUCAUCUUUGAGCCACCUUACACCAUCUUCCACUCCUAUCCUUGUGUUGACUCUUUGGGUAAGAAAAACAUUAAGCUUUUCAAUUGCAAAGGAAACAGCUGCAUCAGCCAUUUUUCUCUAUCAACUAGAAACAGCCAAACAGGCAGAAAGUAUUUGAAUGUUCUUGCAAACAGAAAAAACCAAAUGUAGGACAAUACCAAUAUGCAUCAACUAAUCAAAUUUGGUGUUGCAACUUUGCGAAGAAUCUGAGCAUUAUAUACAACUCAAUUAGAUUCAAAUAUAAUCUAAAAAAAUUGUAUUCCUUAACUUCAUUUCAGAUCUUAAAAUAAAAAUGUUGAGUUGUUUUAGACUUUAGUUGCAG
Molecule: long non-coding RNA, 3804 nt
Filed under: Daucus carota (carrot)
Lineage: Eukaryota; Viridiplantae; Streptophyta; Magnoliopsida; Apiales; Apiaceae
Description: long non-coding RNA (DCAR_LNC002935)
Source: RNAcentral